AACGAACGCUGGCGGCAUGCCUAACACAUGCAAGUCGAACGAUUGCCUUCGGGGGAUAGUGGCGCACGGGUGCGUAACGCGUGGUAAUCUGCCCUUAGGUUCGGAAUAACAGCUGGAAACGGCUGCUAAUACCGGAUGAUAUCGCGAGAUCAAAUAUUUAUCGCCUGAGGAUGAGCCCGCGUUGGAUUAGGUAGUUGGUGGGGUAAAGUCCUACCAAGCCGCCGAUCCAUAGCUGGUCUGAGAGGAUGAUCAGCCACACUGGGACUGAGACACGGCCCAGACUCCUACGGGAGGCAGCAGUGGGGAAUAUUGGACAAUGGGCGCGAGCAUGAUCCAGCAAUGCCGCGUGAGUGAUGAAGGCCCUAGGGUUGUAAAGCUCUUUUACCCGGGAAGAUAAUGACUUUACCGGGAGAAUAAGCCCCGGCUAACUCCGUG
Molecule: ribosomal RNA, 435 nt
Filed under: uncultured bacterium
Lineage: Bacteria
Description: partial 16S ribosomal RNA
Rfam family: Bacterial small subunit ribosomal RNA
Source: RNAcentral